UUUUCAAGCAGGCUACUAAAGAGCAAGCCGUCCUGUCCGGGUCACCCAGGCUACAGGAACUUGCAAGCCCAAAUCAGAGCUCUCAGCAGCCCCUCCCUGCUUGUCUGAAGUAGAGCAGGGAGUGAAGAUUUGUGCUUAUGUCUAGAAAAUGGAAUGAAAUAGUGAAGUAAUGAAGAUGCUAACCACUGGAAGUGGAGGUUGGAGAGUUCUUGUCUUUAUCAUCAAAAAGAGCUCAGAGACAAGUGCAAUCAAUGGCUUAUGCAACAGCCACCCCCCAAGUUUGUGGCCCUUUGGUACUGCAACCACUGGAAAAGGACACAGUAGUGUUGUGGAGGCAACAGCCCAACUAGUUCAAGAGAAGAGUCACUUCAUGGGAUGCAGACAGGUCUUCAAAACGUUUCCGCUGCUGAGGAAAGAAGACAGGUGUUCCAAGACCUUUGUUUUCAUCAGCGCUGCAAGCAUCUCACUCCUCAAAGCCAGACAGCGUCCACCCUUUUGACCUCACCCUUGCUCUAUAUUUUGUAUUGCCAGCAAGGCUGCCUGCCAACAAAUGAAUUAUCAGGUUCCACAUCCUAACCUUCUCUGCUCUAAUCUGCCACUCCUUUCCUGGUUUGUACCAGGAGGCAUUCCUCAUAAGACAUUUAUCUGCCUGGAAGGCAGGGAGGAAGCCGGCCCUGGCUCUGUAUUAUUAAUGUGGGGUUUUCAUCUUUAUGCAUAGGAUACGUUGUCUGGGACAAGUCAACUGCUGGAUCUUCCAGGGGAUUACGAAGGAAACAUUCCCAUACGUAUGUUCCAAAUAAAAAAAUCUAUCUGCUGAAUGAGGGGUUGCUAAGGGGAAAUUCGCCCAACAGCUGCCUUUUUAUUAUGAUGAGAAGGGAAGUGGCCAGGCUGAUAGUCCACACAGCCCCAGAGACAGAGCUGGCACAAAGGCUCCCUUGUGUUCACCAUCAUAGCUCAGUGGAGAGGCUCUGUCCUUUCCUGCCACCCCUCAAACUUCACCCGGCUUUACGCUAGUGCUAAAGUCACGUGCUCCAUGUCUAUUCCUCUAUCCCAUUCAAAAUUACAGUACAGAAAAGGCAGAAAGAAUGUGUUGUCUAUCUUUCUGCACUUCCUUGCCUUUCAGAACUUGGGUAAUUAGGAUGGGAUUUCUAUUCUCCCUAAUUUGCUAGGAACUAGGUUUCUGUGGGGAGGCUGGGCAUCUGGGCCAGGGAGAUGGUGACCACUUAAAGAUCAGUGGGGGUGGCACUGUCAUUCAUGAAUGUAUAAAAGCCACAUAGUUUCCACAUGGUUUCCAGUCACUUUCAGCCAAAUAUUUGUCUUAUUAAUAUUAAGUGAAAGUGCUUUUGGCUGUUAAGAAAACAUUACUAUAAAAUGUGUAAAAUAAUGAUCACACCCUCACUACAGUUUAUAACAUCUCCUGUAUGGAAAACAGAUGUUUUUAUACUCGCUCUUUAUCAUAUGGGAGUAUGAUAGGUAAUGAGAACAUCAAUCCACAUGAAAUAAUAACAAUAAAUUUACUGCAUCUUCCUAACAUUAGUAUCAUCUCAGAUUGCAUCAUGCCACUUUUCUCUGUGAGGUUAAUUUGGGCUUCUUUUAAACUUUGCGGUAUUCAUCUCAGAUACCAGUUCAAUAGUCUGAUUACCAAGGCCUGAUGGAGUAAAUCUGUCUUACUUUGUCAGUUGGCAAGGGCAGGAGGAUCCGGUAGCGGAUGCUGAUUCUCAAGCGUCAUUCAGCUUCCUGGUAGAAAGGUCUGUGGCUGAAGCCCUCGCCUGAGCUGAGUAUGAACGCAUUUGGUAGUUCUGCAAAUGUCUGCAUAUACCGAGAAUGCAAGCUCUGGAGGGCAUGAGGGCAAGUACAUAGAGCGAUGCACAUCUUCCUUAAGACAGGGAUUUGUGGGACCUAGAAAAUGGUCUGUAUCUGCACGUGUAAUUUCUCAAGGUUGGCAAAAUGUGUAGAUCAUAAGAGAUGGUUCCGAUACAGCAUUUUCUCUACCAGAAAUGUCUAUUAACCAGAAGAUCUGCACAUUUAUGGUACAAAUAGUAAUGAUACUCUUAAUUAUGACUCCUAGGCAACAUAAAAUCCUGGCCAGCCUUUGUGUUCAUCAAAGUCAGAUUAUUAAAUUAUGGUC
Molecule: long non-coding RNA, 2128 nt
Organism: Manis javanica (Malayan pangolin)
Lineage: Eukaryota; Metazoa; Chordata; Mammalia; Pholidota; Manidae
Source: RefSeq, a predicted model, not a curated record